RNAcentral lists this small nucleolar RNA (143 nucleotides) under Mus spretus (western wild mouse). Its description in RNAcentral is "predicted gene, 23168 (ENSMSPG00010013889.1)". It matches the Rfam family "Small nucleolar RNA SNORA48". Rfam says of the family: The snoRNA ACA 48 has been identified to guide pseudouridylation of the residue U3797 in the 28S rRNA subunit. Its host gene EIF4A1 (eukaryotic translation initiation factor 4A1) is shared with U67 and snoRNA mgU6-77 Lineage: Eukaryota; Metazoa; Chordata; Mammalia; Rodentia; Muridae. The record is from RNAcentral.
GGCCCCUGGCAAUGGGCAAAGAGAUACCUGCUUGGUGGUGGUGGUCUUAUAUCAGUCAGGAGCAGAGUAGAUGGCAGCUCUUUGUUCAUCCUAGCUUGAUGCCUGGCUUGGUGGCAAAGUUGCUUAAUGCCUAGGACACAUAA